CAUGGUAACACCCCCCAGUAGUGGCCCUGCAUGCUUCUCAGAAAUGGUUGUGGGGAUGGGGAGAGGUAUCUAUUGCUGGUCAGCACAGGAACCUGGCUUUGCACCCUUGACCAAACAUCGUGCUUCUGAGCAGCCAGCCUUAGGAGAAAGGAUGUCAUCAGGGAGCUGAGUGCAUUGCAGACAAGGAGGAUUUGUCUCACUGAACAUGCAGUUGUUUCCUAGAGGCCAGAGUCUGUGCUGGCGGGUCCUGCAAAUCCCACCUCCAAAAAUAACACAAUGCAGUAGAAUGCCAGCACAUUGCUGACCAUGUCUGCUUGAGAGCUAAGAUUUUCAUGUGAAGAUUCAUUAAUUUCAUCAAGCACAGAAAGUGUUUUGCAGCAUUUUUUUAUGGGGAAGUUUGUUAUCAUUUAACAAAGGAUAACAGUAGUAAAUCCAUCGGGGUGAGGGCUUAGCAGGUUUGCUGUGGAACAUAAAUUAUCUAAGUUGUUUAGGCAGUUACCUCAAUUAGCUGUGCAAUUUAAACUCCUUGGCACGAAUUAGGCCAUUUAGCCUAAUGAAUCCCUUUUAUUCCUGAUAGAUGCUGUAUCUCCACUGAUCCAUCUGACAUCAGCCCUGUGGCUCUGGUCUCUGCCCCCAGGGCCUUUCUGCCAUCCUCUGUGCUGGGUGUGUGGUGAGGAGGGAGCAGAGCAAUGUUCUGCAUCCUGCCAUCACCUGUUCAUCAUCUAAUUAACACUGACGGUGGUACCAGCAUCUCCCCCACCAGAUGAACCAGCCUUGUCACAAGGCUCUGUGUGCAAAGAGAGGUUUGCUUGUUCCAUCAGGAAAGCAACAAAAUGCAUUUCCGACCUGUGUGCCCAUGUCUGAACUGAGAGCAAGACAAACUCUUGUCCAUUUGGUGGUGUUUAGGUCCCAGGUCUUAGAUGCACUGGAGGUAUGGCUGUGGCUAUGCUGAUGCACACCAAUGGGGAGAGAGCAGCCCAGCCUGCAGGUAUGCAGAGCUUCCAGGUCUUCAGCAUUCUGAUUCAUUAAGGUGGCUUUGAUGUUGUUUCUUUAUCCAUAAGGAGCACAGAGGAAAUUAAAUUGCUGGUGGUGUAACCAAUAUGCCUGCAGACAGGAGGAGGCUGCAGUAUGGUUUGCAUAUCACCCAUUUGAUUCUCCUCUCAGUAAAUUACAUUAUUUUCAUUUUCUCUUAUUAUAACUGCAACCUCAUCCUAGCUAGUGCUCUCAUCUGUCAGACUGCAAGAUAAUUCAUUUAACUGCUCCUUACACCAGGUUCUGUGUCUCACUCUUGGUGUUGUAAUUCCAAACACAUUUCACCCAAGAGAUGGCAUUUUGGGUACUGUUCUGCCAGCAUUGUGCAAUGGGAAGUUAUUGCCAUUGCUUCUUUCAUAACAAAUUCAUCCUCGGUCAGAAAGGUCUGAGCUGGAAUAUAAACCCUGCAAUUAUCAAUAAUGGAGCUUGAAGGAAACUGAAUCUCGCUCUCUGUUGGUGUCAUAUGCUUUAAGUGUUUUUUGGACAGAUGAGGCAAUCCCCUAAAGACAAUAAUAUCAUACAUGUGAUAAAUAUGGUAAUUUACUUGACCUGGCAAUGGUGUGUGAAUGUGAGCUCCUCCUUGGCUGUUAAUCCUGUGAAGGACUAAUGGGAAUAAAAAUGCCAUCACUCACCAGAGCCACGGUGCAGCAGGAUGAGAUGCCUCAUGGAUCACAGGAUCACAGAAUGGCUUGGGUUGGAAGGGACAUCAAGGAUCAUGAAGCUCCAACACCCCCAAUUCAGGCA
Non-coding RNA from Coturnix japonica (Japanese quail), 1776 nucleotides. The record is from RefSeq and is a predicted model, not a curated record. Lineage: Eukaryota; Metazoa; Chordata; Aves; Galliformes; Phasianidae.